Molecule: long non-coding RNA, 600 nt
Filed under: Pogona vitticeps (central bearded dragon)
Lineage: Eukaryota; Metazoa; Chordata; Lepidosauria; Squamata; Agamidae
Description: lncRNA (ENSPVIG00000004468.1)
Source: RNAcentral
GAAAGGUACAUACAAACCCAUUGCCACGACAAGGACGACAAUUAGAAAGCAAUUGUGGAUUAUACAUAAUGCUAGAGGCUGAAGGGAAAUCUAUUUAUUUUUAUUUUUCUUUGUUGUUGUUGUUGUUGUUGUUUUCUGUUUUAUUUUGUUUUUUACUCCUUUCAUCUCAACUAUUUCCAUGUAAAAAUUUGGCAGCUAUGGCUGCAUACCAGAUGGCCUAUGAUUUGAGCAGAUGAAGUGGUGAAACUAUUUCAAGGUUGUCCUGGUUUUCAUUGAUGUGGAGACACCAGAAUACCACUGCAGUCUUAUAGGCUGGGUGCAGCAAUUGUUUUCUUAGUUUCUUGGUAGGAGUCAAUUGCUUCCUACUUGUGUGUGUGUGUGUAAUAAUUACAGGUUGAACAUUAUUUGACAAUGAGAUUCCCCCCCCCAUCAUUUUGUUUAAUUACUUUGAUCACAUAUGGACUCUUUUUCUUUGUUUGUGUGAUGAGCCAUCAAUGGUGCUUCCAGAAUUGAAGCAUCAGUUGGCAGGCUUCUGUCAGGGGGUACCCAGAUGUGGUCACAGUUCUCAAAUUAAUAAACUGGCUCAAUGGGUUGGUAACA